This 1224-nucleotide long non-coding RNA is filed under the name Macaca mulatta (Rhesus monkey). RNAcentral describes it as "lncRNA (ENSMMUG00000056816.1)". Lineage: Eukaryota; Metazoa; Chordata; Mammalia; Primates; Cercopithecidae. The record is from RNAcentral.
UGUUUCUUCUUUUUGUGGCAUGGGGGAUAGUCAAGUUAAAAAAUGAGAAAGCAUGCUAUACAAGUUCUAAAAGCCAUAUCACUAGGCUGUUCCCUUUGCCAAUUUCCUCCUCUUUAAUCACCUUUAAAAUUCCUAUUCAUUCUUCAAGUCUUAGCUCAAGGGUUACCCUUUUUUAUAUCAUUCUUUUCCUCUGACUCUUCCCAGGGAGUAUUCCUUGCCCUCUCUCCUUGAUCCGUCCUGAGUGUUCUGUAUAUAUAGUGUCUAGGCAUACCAUUAAGUAGUUUAUCCUGCUGUACAGAUGCUAGAGAGUGCUGAUAGUUGAGUCACACCUGACUCAGGCUAGCUAUAUCCAAAGACCUAUAGGGGAAGCCAUAAUCUCAAGUAGUGCCUGUGGUGAUUAACUUUGACUAUAAGAAAGAUCUUUAUUGACAAAUAUAGCAGCUGUGGAGGGCCUAUGUAAGAAAGUCAUCUUGGGUUAUCUACUCCUGUUUCUCCCCUGGGAUGCCUCGCUCGGUGCCUAUUUAGAGAAGUCCAUCCUCCACUCACAUGCCAAUUUAUUGCAGCACUAGAGUUGGGAUUCAGAAUUUAGGUCAGGGUAUGCCUAUGUGGCAUCAGAACCCCACCUUUUCUUCUCCUUUCCUAGGGCCUGUGAUGUUUUGUCUUUGGACUUUUAAACACGAAGAGCAGUUGCCUUAGUGUCUUCAGUCUGGAUGUUUCCCUUUCUUAAACUUCAUCUGGAAAGGGAUGGCUGCAUUUCAUUUUCUGGACAAUAAGGUUGUUUGCCUACACUCCUGUGAAGAGAUAUUCUCAUUGCCUUCUAACACACAUGGCUUCAGGUCACCACUCAUGGUUAGGGAUCAAGUUAUUUUAGGUGGAUGCUUCCGGAUAACGGAUUUAUUAUAGCACCUCGCAAGCAUUGCUAAAGUCAUGGUUGAGGAAACAGUUUCAUUAUACCUCCGUCGUAAUUAGAGUAUGUAUUCCUUUUCUUUUUUCUUAAUCUUCUGCUGCCUUUAAAAUAAAACUGCAAUAUGAGACAUUAUGUGUCAUUGUUGUUUUAAUCUAGGGAUGAAAGUUGGUAAUUCUUUCAAGUCUGUUUAAAUGAAGAGCAGCAGAUAGGAUAGGUCAAGUUCCUGUCAUUCACUAUUCUCCAAUUGUAUCCCUUAAAGGUCAGAGAUUCUAACCUUUAUAUAGGCAAUCAAUACCUAUGGCUGCAUUGAUUUGUUG